RNAcentral lists this ribosomal RNA (406 nucleotides) under uncultured bacterium. RNAcentral describes it as "bacterial SSU rRNA". It matches the Rfam family "Bacterial small subunit ribosomal RNA", at positions 356 to 776 of the family's 1533-position model. The record is from RNAcentral.
GGGGAAUAUUGGGCAAUGGGCGCAAGCCUGACCCAGCAACGCCGCGUGAAGGAAGAAGGCCCUCGGGUUGUAAACUUCUUUUAUUCGGGACGAAACAAAUGACGGUACCGAAUGAAUAAGCCACGGCUAACUACGUGCCAGCAGCCGCGGUAAUACGUAGGUGGCAAGCGUUAUCCGGAUUUACUGGGUGUAAAGGGCGUGUAGGCGGGAGAGCAAGUCAGACGUGAAAUUCCAGGGCUCAACCCUGGAACUGCGUUUGAAACUGUUCUUCUUGAGUGAUGGAGAGGCAGGCGGAAUUCCGUGUGUAGCGGUGAAAUGCGUAGAUAUACGGAGGAACACCAGUGGCGAAGGCGGCCUGCUGGACAUUAACUGACGCUGAGGCGCGAAAGCGUGGGGAGCAAACAGG